GAAUCAUUGCAAAAAGAUAUAUACAAAUAUAAUGAUAAAGAUUGCAUUUAUUUGUGAAUAUACUUCAGUAGUGUCUUAAAUCAACUAUACUGUAUAUAUCUCUAGGCACUUGAUAAAGACAAGAGUCUUCAUCACGUUAUGAAAGUAAUAGUUGGUUAGGUGUGCCAUUACAGCAGCCUGAGGCUACAUGUUAGAAGAAAUAAGAUGGCAAUGGACAACAACAUGUUAAAUUAAUUCAGAGAGAAAAUGGACGUGCUUC
This is a non-coding RNA of Pelobates cultripes (western spadefoot toad), 259 nucleotides long. The record is from the annotation of a GenBank genome assembly. NCBI's taxonomy places the organism in Eukaryota, Metazoa, Chordata, Amphibia, Anura, Pelobatidae.